Molecule: ribosomal RNA, 112 nt
Filed under: Escherichia coli
Lineage: Bacteria; Pseudomonadati; Pseudomonadota; Gammaproteobacteria; Enterobacterales; Enterobacteriaceae
Description: partial 16S ribosomal RNA
Rfam family: Bacterial small subunit ribosomal RNA
Source: RNAcentral
UUAAAUUGAAGAGUUUGAUCAUGGCUCAGAUUGAACGCUGGCGGCAGGCCUAACACAUGCAAGUCGAACGGUAACAGGGAUCAGCUUGCUGAUUCGCUGACGAGUGGCGGAC